This 403-nucleotide ribosomal RNA is filed under the name Verrucomicrobiota bacterium. RNAcentral's name for it is "Verrucomicrobia bacterium partial 16S ribosomal RNA". It matches the Rfam family "Bacterial small subunit ribosomal RNA", at positions 355 to 776 of the family's 1533-position model. Lineage: Bacteria; Pseudomonadati; Verrucomicrobiota. The record is from RNAcentral.
UGGGGAAUAUUGCACAAUGGGCGCAAGCCUGAUGCAGCAACGCCGCGUGAACGAUGAAGGUCUUCGGAUCGUAAAGUUCUGUUGCAGGGGAAGAUAAUGACGGUACCCUGUGAGGAAGCCCCGGCUAACUACGUGCCAGCAGCCGCGGUAAUACGUAGGGGGCUAGCGUUAUCCGGAUUUACUGGGCGUAAAGGGUGCGUAGGUGGUCUUUCAAGUCGGUGGUUAAAGGCUACGGCUCAACCGUAGUUAGCCUCCGAAACUGGAAGACUUGAGUGCAGGAGAGGAAAGUGGAAUUCCCAGUGUAGCGGUGAAAUGCGUAGAUAUUGGGAGGAACACCAGUAGCGAAGGCGGCUUUCUGGACUGAAACUGACACUGAGGCACGAAAGCGUGGGUAGCAAACAGG